RNAcentral lists this transfer RNA (73 nucleotides) under Candidatus Nanoarchaeia archaeon. RNAcentral describes it as "tRNA-Val". It matches the Rfam family "tRNA". Rfam says of the family: Transfer RNA (tRNA) molecules are approximately 80 nucleotides in length. Their secondary structure includes four short double-helical elements and three loops (D, anti-codon, and T loops). The record is from RNAcentral. RNAcentral also lists the same sequence under 1 other name. Lineage: Archaea; Nanobdellati; Nanobdellota; Candidatus Nanoarchaeia.
GGGCCCGUGGUCUAGGGGUUAUGACGUCGCCUUGACGCGGCGAAGGUCCUGGGUUCAAGUCCCAGCGGGCCCA